Molecule: unclassified non-coding RNA, 234 nt
Filed under: Hevea brasiliensis (rubber tree)
Lineage: Eukaryota; Viridiplantae; Streptophyta; Magnoliopsida; Malpighiales; Euphorbiaceae
Source: RNAcentral
CUCUCGAGUUUUCUUCUCUUUCUUAUCUGUGUCAUCCUCACCACUCCUUUUCCUUGGGCUCCCCUCACUGUCAUCCUUGUGCCUGUUUGACCUGCCGCCAGUGCUCUGUUCACGUGCUCUCUCCCUGUAGUCAUUAUCAUCUCUCCUCCGUCGCUUCCUAUCAUGCUCCCUGGAAUCAUCACCACUAUCAUCAUCACUGGUAAAUUCUCUCCGUUUCUCCUUUUCUCUUGUCCU